RNAcentral lists this ribosomal RNA (253 nucleotides) under uncultured bacterium. RNAcentral describes it as "partial 16S ribosomal RNA". It matches the Rfam family "Bacterial small subunit ribosomal RNA", at positions 524 to 776 of the family's 1533-position model. The record is from RNAcentral.
UACGUAGGGAGCUAGCGUUGUCCGGAAUCAUUGGGCGUAAAGCGCGUGUAGGCGGCCCGAUAAGUCCGCUGUGAAAGUCCAGGGCUCAACCCUGGGACGCCGGUGGAUACUGUCGGGCUAGAGUCCGGAAGAGGCGAGUGGAAUUCCCGGUGUAGCGGUGAAAUGCGCAGAUAUCGGGAGGAACACCAAUGGCGAAGGCAGCUCGCUGGGACGGUACUGACGCUGAGACGCGAAAGCGUGGGGAGCAAACAGG